UACGGGGGGGGCAAGCGUUGUUCGGAAUUACUGGGCGUAAAGAGCGUGUAGGCGGCCAACUAAGUCCUGCGUGAAAUCUCGGGGCUCAACCCCGAGCGGUCGUGGGAAACUGGUUGGCUAGAGUGCGGGAGAGGAGAGUGGAAUUCCUGGUGUAGCGGUGAAAUGCGCAGAUAUCAGGAAGAACACCCGUGGCGAAGGCGGCUCUCUGGAACGCAACUGACGCUGAGACGCGAAAGCGUGGGGAGCAAACAGG
RNAcentral lists this ribosomal RNA (253 nucleotides) under uncultured bacterium. Its description in RNAcentral is "partial 16S ribosomal RNA". It matches the Rfam family "Bacterial small subunit ribosomal RNA", at positions 524 to 776 of the family's 1533-position model. The record is from RNAcentral.